Molecule: long non-coding RNA, 248 nt
Organism: Scleropages formosus (Asian bonytongue)
Lineage: Eukaryota; Metazoa; Chordata; Actinopteri; Osteoglossiformes; Osteoglossidae
Exons: 3
Source: RefSeq, a predicted model, not a curated record
GGGGCUGUAACGUCAAUGCGGUGUUACGCUCGGUCCUAAUGAAUGUGAUUUUGAGGAGAAUUACUUCAGGCCGUGAGAUGUUUGCUGAUACUCCAAGAGGAUCUUUGGGAGCUCCUUUCGCCUUUGUUUUCCCUUGUUGCAGCUCCAUUUGAAGCCUUUUUCCUGGAUGUGGCUGGGGAUCAGAGCAUGGGUGUCCCGUGCCUGAGCUCUGGAGACCUUGGUUUUGUGGGAUGGCUGGAGAUGUGAUG